CGAGCUGUGAUGAUGUCGACGCUACGUCUCCUUCCUGAUGACAUUUGUGAUGUUUUUAAGUCACUACCUCAUCUGAGCUUU
Dunckerocampus dactyliophorus (ringed pipefish) is the source of this 81-nucleotide small nucleolar RNA. RefSeq annotates it as small nucleolar RNA SNORD11B. The transcript has a single exon. The record is from RefSeq and is a predicted model, not a curated record. Lineage: Eukaryota; Metazoa; Chordata; Actinopteri; Syngnathiformes; Syngnathidae.